Molecule: ribosomal RNA, 253 nt
Filed under: uncultured archaeon
Lineage: Archaea
Description: partial 16S ribosomal RNA
Rfam family: Archaeal small subunit ribosomal RNA
Source: RNAcentral
UACCGGCGCCUCAAGUGGUAGUCGCUUUUAUUGGGCCUAAAGCAUCCGUAGCCGGCUCUGUAAGUUUUCGGUUAAAUCUGUACGCUCAACGUACAGGCUGCCGGGAAUACUGCAGAACUAGGGAGUGGGAGAGGUAGACGGUACUCGGUAGGAAGUGGUAAAAUGCUUUGAUCUAUCGAUGACCACCUGUGGCGAAGGCGGUCUACCAGAACACGUCCGACGGUGAGGGAUGAAAGCUGGGGGAGCAAACCGG